GACGAACGCUGGCGGCGUGCUUAACACAUGCAAGUCGAACGGAAAGGCCCUGCUUUUGUGGGGUGCUCGAGUGGCGAACGGGUGAGUAACACGUGAGUAACCUGCCCUUGACUUUGGGAUAACUUCAGGAAACUGGGGCUAAUACCGGAUAGGAGCUCCUGCUGCACGGUGGGGGUUGGAAAGUUUCGGCGGUUGGGGAUGGACUCGCGGCUUAUCAGCUUGUUGGUGGGGUAGUGGCUUACCAAGGCUUUGACGGGUAGCCGGCCUGAGAGGGUGACCGGCCGCAUUGGAACUGAGCUGCGGCCCGAACUCCUGCGGGCGGCAGGGGGGGGGAUACUUGCACAGUGAGCGGAUGCCUGAUGCACCAACGCCGGAUGCGGGAUGACGGCCUUCGGGUUGUAACCCGCCUUCGCCUGAGAGGAAGCAUCGGUGACGGUAGUGGGUAGAGACGCCCCGGCUACCUACUU
Molecule: ribosomal RNA, 467 nt
Filed under: uncultured bacterium
Lineage: Bacteria
Description: partial 16S ribosomal RNA
Rfam family: Bacterial small subunit ribosomal RNA
Source: RNAcentral